GAUGAACGCUGGCGGCGUGCCUAAUACAUGCAAGUCGAGCGAACAGAUCAGGAGCUUGCUCCUUUGACGUUAGCGGCGGACGGGUGAGUAACACGUGGGUAACCUACCUAUAAGACUGGAAUAACUCCGGGAAACCGGGGCUAAUGCCGGAUAACAUUUAGCACCUCAUUGUUCUAAAGUGAAAGAUGGUUUUGCUAUCACUUAUAGCUUGACCCGCGCCGUAUUAACUAGUUGGUGGGGUAACGGCUUACCAAGGCAACGAUGCUUACCCGACCUGAACGCGUCAUCGGACAGAUGGGAAGUGAGAAACGGUCCAGACACCUACGGGAGGAAGCAGUCGGGAAUCUUCCGGAAGGGACCAAAGCGUGACGUAGCAACGCCGCGGGAGUGAUGAAGGUCUUCGGAUCGUAAAGCGCUGUUAGUAGGGAAGAACAAAUGUGUAAGUAACUGUGCACGUCAUGACGGUACCUAAUCAGAAAGCCACGGCUAACUCCGUG
Molecule: ribosomal RNA, 497 nt
Filed under: uncultured bacterium
Lineage: Bacteria
Description: partial 16S ribosomal RNA
Rfam family: Bacterial small subunit ribosomal RNA
Source: RNAcentral